Molecule: ribosomal RNA, 498 nt
Filed under: uncultured bacterium
Lineage: Bacteria
Description: partial 16S ribosomal RNA
Rfam family: Bacterial small subunit ribosomal RNA
Source: RNAcentral
GACGAACGCUGGCGGCGUGCCUAAUACAUGCAAGUCGAACGAGAGCAACCGGUGCUUGCACUGGUCAAUCUAGUGGCGAACGGGUGAGUAACACGUGGGUAACCUGCCCAUCAGAGGGGGAUAACAUCCGGAAACGGAUGCUAAAACCGCAUAGGUCUUCGAACCGCAUGGUUUGAAGAGGAAAAGAGGCGCAAGCUUCUGCUGAUGGAUGGACCCGCGGUGCAUUAGCUAGUUGGUGAGGUAACGGCUCACCAAGGCCGUGAUGCAUAGCCGACCUGAGAGGGUGAUCGGCCACAUUGGGACUGAGACACGGCCCAAACUCCUACGGGAGGCAGCGGUAGGGAAUCUUCCGCAAUGGACGCAAGUCUGACGGAGCAACGCCGCGUGAGUGAAGAAGGUUUUCGGAUCGUAAAACUCUGUUGUUAGAGAAGAACAAGUGCUAGAGUAACUGUUAGCGCCUUGACGGUAUCUAACCAGAAAGCCACGGCUAACUACGUG